ACCCGCUGAACUUAAGCAUAUCAAUAAGCGGAGGAAAAGAAACUAACAAGGAUUCCCCUAGUAACGGCGAGUGAAGCGGGAAAAGCUCAAAUUUGAAAUCUGGCAGCCUCAGGUUGCCCGAGUUGUAAUCUAUAGAAACGUUUUCCGCGUUGGCCCAUGUACAAGUCUCCUGGAAUGGAGCGUCAUAGAGGGUGAGAAUCCCGUCCUUGACAUGGACUACCAGUGCUUUGUGAUACGUUUUCAAAGAGUCGAGUUGUUUGGGAAUGCAGCUCAAAAUGGGUGGUAAAUUCCAUCUAAAGCUAAAUAUUGGCGAGAGACCGAUAGCGAACAAGUACCGUGAGGGAAAGAUGAAAAGCACUUUGGAAAGAGAGUUAAACAGUAUGUGAAAUUGUUGAAAGGGAAACGAUUGAAGUCAGUCAUGUCUAUUGGACUCAGCCGGUUCUGCCGGUGUACUUCCUUUAGAUGGGGUCAACAUCAGUUUUGAUCGCUGGAAAAGGGCAGGAGGAAUGUAGCACUCUCGGGUGAACUUAUAGCCUUCUGUCGUAUACAGUGGUUGGGACUGAGGAACGCAGCAUGCCUUUAUGGCCGGGGUUCACCCACGUACAUGCUUAGGAUGUUGACAUAAUGGCUUUAAACGACCCGUCUUGAAACACGG
RNAcentral lists this ribosomal RNA (655 nucleotides) under uncultured fungus. RNAcentral's name for it is "LSU rRNA". It matches the Rfam family "Eukaryotic large subunit ribosomal RNA", at positions 23 to 664 of the family's 3401-position model. Lineage: Eukaryota; Fungi. The record is from RNAcentral.